This 460-nucleotide ribosomal RNA is filed under the name uncultured bacterium. Its description in RNAcentral is "partial 16S ribosomal RNA". It matches the Rfam family "Bacterial small subunit ribosomal RNA", at positions 338 to 795 of the family's 1533-position model. The record is from RNAcentral.
CCUACGGGAGGCAGCAGUGAGGAAUAUUGGUCAAUGGACGAGAGUCUGAACCAGCCAAGUAGCGUGAAGGAUGACUGCCCUAUGGGUUGUAAACUUCUUUUAUAAAGGAAUAAAACGAGGCACGUGUGCCUUUUUGCAUGUACUUUAUGAAUAAGGAUCGGCUAACUCCGUGCCAGCAGCCGCGGUAAUACGGAGGAUCCGAGCGUUAUCCGGAUUUAUUGGGUUUAAAGGGAGCGUAGAUGGGUUGUUAAGUCAGUUGUGAAAGUUUGCGGCUCAACCGUAAAAUUGCAAUUGAUACUGGCAGUCUUGAGUACAGUUGAGGUAUGCGGAAUUCGUGGUGUAGCGGUGAAAUGCUUAGAUAUCACGAAGAACCCCGAUUGCGAAGGCAGCUUACUAGACUGUGACUGACAUUGAUGCUCGAAAGUGUGGGUAUCGAACAGGAUUAGAUACCCUUGUAGUC